Long non-coding RNA from Callorhinchus milii (elephant shark), 1012 nucleotides. RefSeq lists it as uncharacterized. NCBI's taxonomy places the organism in Eukaryota, Metazoa, Chordata, Chondrichthyes, Chimaeriformes, Callorhinchidae. The record is from RefSeq and is a predicted model, not a curated record. The transcript has 4 exons.
CCCGCCCGCGGGGCCCUGAGGGUCAGUGUGUGGUGUGGGGGCAGUGCCCGGAGUCCGGCGAAAACAUAUGUGGACUUGAGAUGUGGAACUCCGGGUGAGGCGGCGUUAUGGAAAAAUAAAUCUUCCAAGUCUGCCGCAGAUUCCAGGACGGAAAAAAAAGGAGAAACCGCUUGCCAGAGAAUUCUUGAGGAGGAGGUGUUAUGGAAAAAAAUUACCUUUGACGUCUGAGGAAGAACGUCAGCCGGGCUUCGUCCUCUCCGGCUGCGCGUCCGUGAGUGAGUGAGGUUACGGGGCUAUUUUACAGACGGACGGGCGAGCAUUUUUUUUGGGUUCGCGCUGAUUAUUUUUGUUUUGGGGCUUCCGGAAACCUGUGCGGUGUGAUGUGAGGCGGAGCGUCGAAGGAGGCGUUAACGGAGAGACCGAAGGAUCAGCUGAGGAUUCCCAUUUCUUGGCUGAAUCAAGUGGCCGCAUUUCCGGAGCAGCGUUCAGAUCAGUCCGAGGCACUGUAUGUGCAUGGUGUCGGUAACCGACAUUCCAAGACAAUAUUCCCCGCUGGGUUAAUCCGUAUUAAUCUCCGCAGACCAAAUACCGGGGGAGGGGGUGUGAGUAGUGGCUGCCUUCCCCUUCAAGAAGCUUUACAGGCUCGAGUCCUAUCAUGUUUAGGGGUGUCCUGUGUUGUGUGGCCGUUGGGUUUAUUUGUUCGUCCUCGAUAAGAGAUAAUUAAGAGGCGGUGUGAUUUACGACAGGGACGAGAGCCCAGCCCACGUCAACCGAGGGUCUGGGGGGGGGGGUCAACCUGAUCCCCUUCUCUCCGAAGGGUUUACACGUUCGAUGCCCAACAACAGACGUACUCGAAGCACAGAGUGUCCAAAAUCCCGGUUUAUUUCAAGGCGCCAAGAAGUUAUCAAUGUCGGGGUUGUUUUUUUUAGCCGAGGAGCCCUUCGGCCGCCGUAACUCCACGCCUCCCUCUGGGGGCCUUGUUUGAACGUCGUGGUCAACAAUUGUCCGGCUU